AAAAACCUUUCUAUAUGACAAAAAAUUAGCCUAAAAAUACCUAGACCCUAGAACCCUAAGGAUCAUCCGCCGUUUCUAUCACAAGACCCCCCUCCCCCACCCCAGCCAAACUUCAUCUUUUUUUUCAUGAAAAACCAAAAAAAAAAACCUAGACUCCAUUGAAGCUCCCAGCCGCACCUCUGCAAAACGACCCCUCAUCUUAUCUUCUUCACAACCAGACUUAACCCUAGCUACCAAACCCCUACUACCAUCUCCACUCAACACAUAACACCAGCAACCCCCUUCAACAACCUUCACGCCAAGAACUCGACACAACCACACACACGCACAGAAAUGCAAAGACAUUCACACACACAGAGAUCAACAAAAAUCAGUCCAAAAUCAGUAGUGGAACAACCCCGUUUCUUACCUCAAAACACCCUCAUUCCAGCUCCAAAACCUCACAUUUUUUGCACGCGAAAUCAGCCCCAAACAAUCCCGAAUCAUCUCUAAAACGCAACUGAAGUCCUGUCUGAAACAACUCUCGUUCGCAGCUGAAAUCUGCUGAAACAGUGCCCAAAACGCCACAAAAGAUUCGAGUCGAGUUGACGAGCUGUCCGUUUGCAAAUCCGAGGUUCCGUUCGAGGUGCGGUCUUUUGGUUUUGUUCGAAUUUGAUCGUUGUUAGCUGCGCAAUUCCAUCUAUCGUAGUUGCUGGAAUAUUUGGACAUUUGAAAACUUCUUGAGCUAGGUUGUUUUGAGCCAUGGAAUUGCUAUGUUGUCACUAGUUUUGCUGAUUUCGCGUAGCUAAGCUUACAAAUUCUUCUUCACCUUUAUUUGGUCCAAUUCUUGCUUGUUUUGCUUUUGUCCGAGGUAUGUUUGCAGUUUAAAUGAAUACUGCUGGAUAUUAUAUUGCUAUGAAAUCUGCAUAUAUGUAUUCAUAUCAAUACUCUGUCAAGGGGUUUUAUCUGUUAAACAUGUAGUUUGCAAAUUGGUGUUAUGUUCUUGAAUAUUCUUGUGUUUUAUUUGAGAAUUUCUAAUGAUUACCCUUUUCAAAAAUUAAAGAAAGAGCGUGAAUGCUCGCAGCAGUAACAUUUUCGUCACCUUCCUAUAGUUGUUUUAGAAGAUAAGGGAUCAAUUCUUUCCACUUCUUGUGACCAAUUCACAAUGUAUUUAUAUCCAAAAUGAGCAAAGCCCAACCUGAUAUUGCUGCAGCAAUCACGUACAGAAGAAUGAAUGUGCAUAUAACCUAUUUGGUGAAAGGCACUAUUGUUUAUUCUUCACAUGUAUUUGGCUAAUUUCACAAUGCAAAAUUUUGCUUAAUUUGAGUUUAGUAGCAGAACAAGUCCAAAUUUAUAAAACAUUUAGUACUUGGAAUGGAACUUUUGGCUCUCAUGCUUGAUUCCAAACAUAGGAAAAUUAAGCAAUGUUUGAACGUUGUAGUUUGCUUUAGGCACGUCUAAUAUACCAUCGUGGUUGUGUACACGUUCACAUGACAUAUUUACGAUUCUAAAAAUAAAACCGGAGUAUGCGUUCGCGCAACUUUGACCAAACUUUCUUAAUAAUAAUAAAGCGUUACUAAUUAUGGACAUGUUCGCGUGACAUGAUUUUUGACGCGCCAAACAAAUGGGUACACGUGCACGUGACCUGUUUUAAGAUACUUUCUUAAAUUAAAGAGGUGAAAGCACAUAGGUUUUAAAAAUGAGUAAGUAGACAAUUUGAUUAAGCGAAGUAUGAUCAAAGCGACCGUGCAAGAACCACGGAACUCGGGAAUGCCUAACACCUUCUCCUGAGUUAAUAGAAUUCCUUACCCAGAUUUCUGUGUUCGCAGACCGUAAAUAAGAGUCAAACCGGUGAAUUGGGACACCAUAAAUUAUCCCAUGUGGCAAAUCUCAAUUUAAUAAAUAAUCCCGUUUCGAUUGUCACUUAAAUUAGAAAAAACUCCCUUAUAUCCCUUUCGGGGGUAGUAAAAAGGAGGUGUGAUAGAUACCCUCCAGGAAAAGAUGGCCUUAGUCGGGCGUCAGCUUCAAGAUGCGAGGGAGGAUAGUGACAAAUAUAGAGGUCUCCACUCUGAGUUAGUUGUUGCACUAUCUGGGAUCAAAACCGAAGCUGGGGCGCUUAUAUCUGUGCAGAAAGAGGGUGUUGUUGUAAUAGAUGCUCAAAUAGGGAGAGCGCCCGAGGAGGCCGAACUGAAGUUGAUUCGAGCCGUGGAGCAUGCUCGCUUAGAAUCUUGGAGGCGAACUCUUUAGGAUAUACAUGCGGGAGAUAUCAAUCUGUUUGCCGAGCUCGAGAUGGUCAAGACCAUAGAGAAGAAAGUUGUUGCCCUGUUCGCUUCAGGAGGUGUGACGGGUAGUGGCUUAGGAGAUGAUGAGGAUGAAGGCGGGAUCCCCCGAGGAGAAGAGGCCAUCGAAUGUCCUAGGACUGUAGCCGAAACCAUUGGGACACAACCUCCGGUGGAGCCGUCAAAGAUGCAGGCUUGAUGAUAGAUUAGGGUUCUAUUUGGACCCUUCGUUGUAAGGAUAUUUCAAAAGCCUUGUAAACGUACCUCUACAAGCCAUAUGUAUAAUAGGCUUUUCGUUUUUUAUCAUUUCUUUUCUCCUUUGCCUUUUGAGAAUAAAAUGUGAUACUUUUGAUAAUCGAUUCGAGAUCUUAGACCUUGGGUUUCACCCUCGGGUUUUUGCUAUUGCUGAGCGGCCCGUAAUGGUCGAACGUUGGUCCCCGAGUGUUCUCGGAUUAGACUUGGCUUUUUUACGUUGGGUCACCAUGACCUUCAAUUUUAGCGCUGGCGACAGUGUCUCUUACACAUUUGGUCGAUGCGACCUUCAAUUUUAGUGCUAGCGACAGUGGCUCUUACGCUUUUGCUCUUGGGCAUGUUUAGUUAACUGUUUUGGGUUUAGUCUCCGAAUCGGGUUUUGACUCGAGCUCAUUCGACCCUCAAGUUUUUGAAUUUAAUGCUGGCCCUUAGGCUCUUACACUUAGGUCAGUAUGACCUUUUGUAUGUGCUGGCGAUAGAGGCUCUUACGCGUUGGGUCGGUGCGACCUUUUAUAAGCUUUAUUUUUCCCUCGUUAAGGACUUUUUGAAAUAAUGUUUUCCUGACUCUUCGACGGUUCGAUAAAAACCUCGAUUGUCAGUCAUUAUAUGGCGAUGAUUGAGAACCUCGAGAGGUUUGGCUCGGUGGCUGAGCAUCUCGAAGCCUAUGUUUAGGAGCUGACAUAGUCGAAGCUCUUUUGCCUAUGUCGAGGGUAGCCUGUUUAACCGGUUCUUUUCGAAGUAUAUUUGAAGUAAUUGAAGGCCUGUGAUUUUAUAGCGAUGGUCGGGCAUCCCCGAGUCGCGUUAGUUUGGCUAGUACAGCCUUGUGACCGUAGUAAUUUAUGUUUGGCCGGAGCCCGGAGCCUUUCAGUCCCGAGUGAAGUAGUUUCGGUGUCAAUAUCGAGGGUAUGCCCUUUUAGGGGUCUUACAAAUUUGAUAUAUAGCCUUAACUUUGAGAUCGGAUUUAUGCCUUUAGUAAGGUCUUACAAGUUUUACAUGCCUUUAAGGUCUUAUAGUUUUGGAUACUUGGUACAAGUAUGGUUCAUGCCUUGCUUGAGGUUUUACAGAUAUUGCCACUUGGUACAAGUGUGGUUCAUGCCUUGCUUGAGGUCUUACAGAUAUUGUUGUUGCCUUAUAUAGGUGUUACGAGACCGAGGCUGCCCGCAUGUGGUCUUAUGGCCUCGGGUUUUGAUAAGUUGAUGGAGAUGGCGAUUGACGGCAGUCCCCGAAUCAUCGGGGAUUUCUUGGCUUAGGAGCCAUCACUUGUAAACUUGUUAUUGCCUCAUUGAGGGCUUACGAUUUCAGAGUUUCCGACCCGGAGGUCAUGUGGCCUUGAGUUUUCAACACCAGUCCCUGAGUGUUCGGGACGUUUUUGGAUCUGGAGUUAUUUUGUGAUCUCGUUGUUGCCUCAUUGAGGGCUUACGAGUUUGAAGCUUCGACCCGAGGGUCGUACUGUUUCGAGUUGUUAACGCCAAUCCCCGAGUAUUCGGGACGUUUUUUUGGCUCUGGGCCAUUUUUUUGCAAAAAAUGUUGAGCUUCCUUGAAACGCAAAAUUCUUUUGGGAAGUAUUAUUUUGAUUACUUGGUACAAGUAUACAUUCUUUUGACCCGGUAUAUUAUUUUCCUAUCGAGACCCUUUUUUGGCAUAUCUUGGCUUCUCCGAGUAGGUGACCUUUCGGGGGGAUGCCCCCAGUAUUCGAGGUUAAUUGCAAAAGUAGCCUUGGAUAAUUGUUGAGUUUCCUUAUGUAGCAUAUGGAUGUUGCCUCGUUAAAAACCUUGCCGGUAAAACCCUUCUAGGGACAAAAUCUGGUCGAAGGAAAAGAGUGCAAUGCAUGCUUGCAAGAGCCCGAGGCCCUCGAGCUUCAGAAUCUUCCAUCAGACGCCUUAGCAGUAGUAUCAUUUCAGCAUUGAUAUGUUCCAAUUGCUUGGAAGUUACUCACCUUUCAUGGUACCGAGUUUGUAGGACCCUUUGCCGAUUACUCCGAGGACGCGAUACGGUCCUUCCUAAUUUUGGCCAAGAUUUCCUUCAUUAGGGUUUCAGGUGUUGAGGGUGACUUUCCUUGGGACCGAGUCCCCGACUCCGAGAUGUCGGAGGUUUGUUCUCCUAUUAUAAUACCUUUCGAUCCUUCUCUUUUGGGCGACCAUUCGGAUCAGCAAGGCUUCUCGCUUUUUGUCCAAUAGUUUGGGGGCCAUAGUCAUGGCCUCGUUGUUCGAGCUCUCAGUGGUGUGUCAGAAUCUUGCACUUGGUGUUACACCCCAUGUUUUCGUACGUAAAAAUAUGCGAUAAGCAAAUUGGUGAAAGCUCGGAAAUAAGAUAUUACAUCCCGCAUUUUUCGUACGUUAAAGUUUUAUCGUAAGUUAAUCGACGUAAGUUCGGGAAUGAGAUUAUUUUAAGAUUUUAAGAAUUUUAUGCUAUUUCAAAUAAGUAAUGAGUAAAUUCAUGAAGGUGAGAAGGUAAACAAAUCAAACAAAAAGAAUCUCGUCAAAAUAUGGCAUUUUGGGAUAAAAUACGGCCCGAGCUAAAAUACCCGAUAUUUAUGGACUAGUACCAUACAAGGUACCUCAUAGCCAUAAUAAUAAAGUGUAUAAGGUGUGUUAAAAAAUGAGUAGUAUUUUAAAUAAUUUGAGAUAAUUAUCAAUUAUGUGGAUAAUUGAUUAAUGGUGAAGAUAAUUGUGGUAUUAAAUGCAUAAGAGCUGUUUUGGGAUUGCCACUUGGCAUAAGUUUAGCCAAGGUGGAAAAGUAUACAAAUGAGUCAUUUAGACCAAAUGCUAUCUUGGUAACACGUGAGGAUGGCUGAUCUCUUUAUUGGAGAAAUGCAAAAACUUUGCAAAGUUAGGCAAAAACAACAUUUCACUCCAUUUUAAAAGAUAUUCCAUAUUCAGGACUAACCCAUAAGAAUGGCAAUCAUUCUUACAUCAAAAGCCCCCUUCAACCAAAAACCAACGUUAGCCAUCUUACAUCUUUCAACCAAAAUUCUUAAAAUCCAGAACAUUAGCAAGCUUAUACAAGACGUUUUCUAACCCAAAAAUCCAACAAGAAAUUUUUUAGAUGCUUAACAACGUAUAAAUUUUGUGGUUCUAAAGGGAUACAGUGCAACCUUUUCCAAGAAUAUUAUACGGAUUUUUUUCCCUACCUCAGGUAUGUUAAGGCCACCUAUUCUUUCUUUUUGACAUGAUCCUAAUUAUACUGAAGAAAUGAACAAAUACACAAUUUCUAUAAAUUACUCUAUUCAUAGAAAUAGUAGGGGUGUCUAUNNNNNNNNNNNNNNNNNNNGAAAAAUUUAUCCGAAAGGAAUAUUGAGAUUAUUAUGUAUUUUUCAUGCAUUUCAAUCAUUUAUACAUGUGCAUUGACCCAUGACCAGAUAGCGUUAUAUACGCGUAUAUAUGUAUGUAUAUGGGAUAUGGGAAAAGGUUACGUCAUUAUAGACACACCACCACCUCAUCAACUAGUAUAUGAUGAUGAUGUUGCCCACAGUGGCAUGAAUAUGAUUCAAACGACGUUAUAUACGCGUAUAUAUGUAUAUAUAUGCAUAUGGGAUAUGAGAAACCUUAUGGAGUUAUAUACGCACCACCACCUAAUCAGCUGGUAUAUGAUGAUGAUUUUACCCACAGUGGCCGAUAUGAUAUGAUGGGAUGCCCUUAAAGGUGGAUGAUGUUAUGAAACAUGUACCUAUACACGACAUGACAUUCAUAUGCAUAUGCAUGACGCUUAUUAAUUGAUGAUUUACAAAGUUAUUCAGACUUACAAGUUGAGUCAUGUACUCUAUAUUACUUCGAUGCCUCUUAUGUAUUUAUUUAUGUGCCUUACAUACUCAGUACAUUAUUCGUACUGACGUCCCUUUUGCCUGGGAUGCUGCGUUUCAUGCUUGUAGGUCCUGAUAGACAGGUCGAGAGCCCUCCAUGUAGGCUAUCAGCUCAGCGGAAGAUGUUGGUACGCUCAAUUUGCUUCGGAGUUGCUUGUUUAGUUAGUAUGAGUUAGACGUAUAUUUUUUGGUAUGGCAGGACUCUGUCUCGACCUUUAUGAUAUUUAUGUAUUCUUAGAGGCUUGUAGACAUAUGGUGUAUGUGAAAGAUGGUACAACCUUGUCGGCCUAUGUUUUGAGUUUAUAAAUAAUUAUGUUGGCCUAUUAGGC
Molecule: long non-coding RNA, 6638 nt
Filed under: Nicotiana tabacum (common tobacco)
Lineage: Eukaryota; Viridiplantae; Streptophyta; Magnoliopsida; Solanales; Solanaceae
Description: long non-coding RNA (NTAB_LNC003793)
Source: RNAcentral